This 301-nucleotide ribosomal RNA is filed under the name uncultured bacterium. RNAcentral's name for it is "partial 16S ribosomal RNA". It matches the Rfam family "Bacterial small subunit ribosomal RNA", at positions 509 to 807 of the family's 1533-position model. The record is from RNAcentral.
CAGCCGCCACGGGAAUACGAAGGGUGCAAGCGUUAAUCGGAAUUACUGGGCGUAAAGCGUGCGUAGGCGGUUUGUUAAGUCUGUUGUGAAAUCCCCGGGCUCAACCUGGGAAUGGCAAUGGAUACUGGCAAGCUAGAGUGUGUCAGAGGAUGGUGGAAUUCCCGGUGUAGCGGUGAAAUGCGUAGAGAUCGGGAGGAACAUCAGUGGCGAAGGCGGCCAUCUGGGACAUCACUGACGCUGAGGCACGAAAGCGUGGGGAGCAAACAGGAUUAGAUACCCCCGUAGUCCCUGUCUCUUAUAC